Molecule: ribosomal RNA, 231 nt
Filed under: uncultured bacterium
Lineage: Bacteria
Description: partial 16S ribosomal RNA
Rfam family: Bacterial small subunit ribosomal RNA
Source: RNAcentral
CGGGUGAGUAACACGUAUGUAACCUACCUAUAACUGGGGAAUAGCCUUCCGAAAGGAAGAUUAACACCGCAUAAUAUCACGAGACGGCAUCGUCUUGUGAUCAAACCUCCGGGGGUUAUAGAUGGACAUGCGUAACAUUAGCUAGUUGGUGAGGUAACGGCUCACCAAGGCUACGAUGUUUAGGGGGUCUGAGAGGAUGAUCCCCCACACUGGUACUGAGACACGGACCAG